GAUGAACGCUAGCGGGAGGCCUAACACAUGCAAGCCGAGCGGUAGAGAUUCUUCGGAAUCUUGAGAGCGGCGUACGGGUGCGGAACACGUGUGCAACCUGCCUUUAUCUGGGGGAUAGCCUUUCGAAAGGAAGAUUAAUACCCCAUAAUAUAUUGAAUGGCAUCAUUUGAUAUUGAAAACUCCGGUGGAUAGAGAUGGGCACGCGCAAGAUUAGAUAGUUGGUGAGGUAACGGCUCACCAAGUCUACGAUCUUUAGGGGGCCUGAGAGGGUGAUCCCCCACACUGGUACUGAGACACGGACCAGACUCCUACGGGAGGCAGCAGUGAGGAAUAUUGGACAAUGGGUGAGAGCCUGAUCCAGCCAUCCCGCGUGAAGGACGACGGCCCUAUGGGUUGUAAACUUCUUUUGUAUAGGGAUAAACCUACUCUCGUGAGAGUAGCUGAAGGUACUAUACGAAUAAGCACCGGCUAACUCCGUGCCAGCAGCCGCGGUAAUACGGAGGGUGCAAGCGUUAUCCGGAUUUAUUGGGUUUAAAGGGUCCGUAGGCGGAUCUGUAAGUCAGUGGUGAAAUCUCACAGCUUAACUGUGAAACUGCCAUUGAUACUGCAGGUCUUGAGUGUUGUUGAAGUAGCUGGAAUAAGUAGUGUAGCGGUGAAAUGCAUAGAUAUUACUUAGAACACCAAUUGCGAAGGCAGGUUACUAAGCAACAACUGACGCUGAUGGACGAAAGCGUGGGGAGCGAACAGGAUUAGAUACCCUGGUAGUCCACGCCGUAAACGAUGCUAACUCGUUUUUGGGCUUUCGGGUUCAGAGACUAAGCGAAAGUGAUAAGUUAGCCACCUGGGGAGUACGUUCGCAAGAAUGAAACUCAAAGGAAUUGACGGGGGCCCGCACAAGCGGUGGAUUAUGUGGUUUAAUUCGAUGAUACGCGAGGAACCUUACCAAGGCUUAAAUGGGAAAUGACAGGUUUAGAAAUAGACUUUUCUUCGGACAUUUUUCAAGGUGCUGCAUGGUUGUCGUCAGCUCGUGCCGUGAGGUGUUAGGUUAAGUCCUGCAACGAGCGCAACCCCUGUCACUAGUUGCCAUCAUUAAGUUGGGGACUCUAGUGAGACUGCCUACGCAAGUAGAGAGGAAGGUGGGGAUGACGUCAAAUCAUCACGGCCCUUACGCCUUGGGCCACACACGUAAUACAAUGGCCAGUACAGAGGGCAGCUACACAGCGAUGUGAUGCAAAUCUCGAAAGCUGGUCUCAGUUCGGAUUGGAGUCUGCAACUCGACUCUAUGAAGCUGGAAUCGCUAGUAAUCGCGCAUCAGCCAUGGCGCGGUGAAUACGUUCCCGGGCCUUGUACACACCGCCCGUCAAGCCAUGGAAGUCUGGGGUACCUGAAGUCGGUGACCGUAAUAGGAGCUGCCUAGGGUAAAACAGGUAACUAGGGCU
RNAcentral lists this ribosomal RNA (1439 nucleotides) under Chryseobacterium lactis. Its description in RNAcentral is "16S ribosomal RNA". It matches the Rfam family "Bacterial small subunit ribosomal RNA". The record is from RNAcentral. RNAcentral also lists the same sequence under 1 other name. Lineage: Bacteria; Pseudomonadati; Bacteroidota; Flavobacteriia; Flavobacteriales; Weeksellaceae.